GAUGAACGCUAGCUACAGGCUUAACACAUGCAAGUCGAGGGGAAACGCUGAGAGAGCUUGCUCUCUUAGGCGUCGACCGGCGCACGGGUGAGUAACGCGUAUCCAACCUACCCAUUACAGGGGGAUAACCUUGCGAAAGUAAGACUAAUACCCCAUGGCAUUUUAUGGUGGCAUCAUUAUAGGAUUAACGAUUUAUUGGUAAUGGAUGGGGAUGCGUCUGAUUAGCUUGUUGGCGGGGUAACGGCCCACCAAGGCAACGAUCAGUAGGGGUUCUGAGAGGAAGGUCCCCCACAUUGGAACUGAGACACGGUCCAAACUCCUACGGGAGGCAGCAGUGAGGAAUAUUAGUCAAUGGGCGAGAGCUUGAACCAGCCAAGUAGCGUGCAGGAUGACGGCCCUAUGGGUUGUAAACUGCUUUUAUAGGGGAAUAAAGUGAGCUACGUGUAGUUUAUUGCAUGUACCCUAUGAAUAAGGACCGGCUAAUUCCGUG
This 490-nucleotide ribosomal RNA is filed under the name uncultured bacterium. RNAcentral's name for it is "partial 16S ribosomal RNA". It matches the Rfam family "Bacterial small subunit ribosomal RNA", at positions 28 to 507 of the family's 1533-position model. The record is from RNAcentral.